UACGUAGGGGGCAAGCGUUGUCCGGAUUUAUUGGGCGUAAAGAGCGUGUAGGCGGUUUGGUAGGUCCGUUGUGAAAACUCGAGGCUCAACCUCGAGACGCCGAUGGAAACCAUCAGACUAGAGUCCGGAAGAGGAGAGUGGAAUUCCUGGUGUAGCGGUGAAAUGCGCAGAUAUCAGGAAGAACACCCGUGGCUAAGGCGGCUCUCUAGUACGGUACUGACGCUGAGACGCGAAAGCGUGGGGAGCGAACAGG
Molecule: ribosomal RNA, 253 nt
Filed under: uncultured bacterium
Lineage: Bacteria
Description: partial 16S ribosomal RNA
Rfam family: Bacterial small subunit ribosomal RNA
Source: RNAcentral